AAUUUUAAGGAAAUUUUGCUGUUUUUGGUUAUUUAUCUUGAAUAUUAUUAUAGAUAAAGAUAAACUGUAAACAGCAAUAAUGUUCAGCAAAGUAAGAUUUACAAAUAAGUCAACAUGACUGAAAUGGUCAGUUGACCCCUUUAGGAGUUAUUGCCCUUUAUAGUCAAUUUUUAACCAUUUUUCGUAAAUCUUAGUAAUCUUUUACAAAAAUCUUCUUCUCUGAAACUACUGGGCCAAAUUAAACCAAACUUGGCCACAAUCAUAAUUGGGGUAUCUAGUUUAAAAAAUGUGUGGCGUGACCCGGCCAACCAACCAAGAUGGCCGCUACAGCUAAAAAUAGAACAUAGGGGUAAAAUUCAGUUUUUGGCUUAUAACUCAAAAACCAAAGCAUUUAGAGCAAAUCUGACAUGUAGUAAAAUUGAUUAUCAGGUCAAGAUCUAUCUGCCCUGAAAUUUACAGAUGAAUUGGACAACCUGUUGUUGGGUUGCUGCCCCUGAAUUGGUAAUUUUAAGGAAAUUUUGCUGUUUUUGGUUAUUUAUCUUGAAUAUUAUUAUAGAUAAAGAUAAACUGUAAACAUCAAUAAUGUUCAGCAAAGUAAGAUUUACAAAUAAGUCAACAUGACUGAAAUGGUCAGUUGACCCCUUUAGGAGUUAUUGCCCUUUAUAGUCAAUUUUUAACCAUUUUCGUAAAUCUUAGUAAUCUAUUACAAAAAUCUUCUCCUCUGAAACCACUGGGCCAAAUUAAACCAAACUUGGCCACAAUCAUCAUUGGGGUAUCUAGUUUAAAAAAUGUGUGGCGUGACCUGGUCAACCAACCAAGAUGGCCGCCACGGCUAAAAAUAGAACAUAGGGGUAAAAUUCAGGUUUUGGCUUAUAACUCAAAAACCAAAGCAUUUAGAGCAAAUUUAACAUGUAGUAAAAUUGAUUAUCAGGUCAAGAUCUAUCUGCCCUGAAAUUUUCAGAUGAACCGGACGACCUUUGUUGGGUUGCUGCCCCUGAAUUGGUAAUUUUAUGGAAAUUUUGCUGUUUUGGUUAUUAUCUUGAAUAUUAUUAUAGAUAGAGAUAAACUGUAAACAGCAAUAAUGUUCAGCAAAGUAAGAUUUACAAAUAAGUCAACAUGACUGAAAUGGUCAGUUGAUCCCUUUAGGAGUUAUUGCCCUUUAUAGUCAAUUUUGAACCAUUUUUCGUAAAUCUUAGUUAUCUUUUACAAAAAUCUUCUCCUCUGAAACUACUGGGCCAAGUUCAUUAUAGAUUGAGAUAAUUGUAAGCAGCAAGAAUGUUCAGUAAAGUAAGAUUUACAAACACAUCACCAUCACCAAAACACAAUUUUGUCAUGAAUCCAUCUGCGUCCUUUGUUUAAUAUUCACAUAGACCAAGGUGAGCGACACAGGCUCUUUAGAGCCUCUAGUUCU
Molecule: long non-coding RNA, 1411 nt
Filed under: Mytilus galloprovincialis (Mediterranean mussel)
Lineage: Eukaryota; Metazoa; Mollusca; Bivalvia; Mytilida; Mytilidae
Source: RNAcentral